GACGAACGCUGGCGGCGUGCCUAACACAUGCAAGUCGAGCGAGAGACUUCGGUCUCUAGCGGCGGACGGGUGAGUAACACGUGGGUAACCUACCUCAAACAGGGGGAUAGCCUCCCGAAAGGGAGAUUAAUACCGCAUAACAUCACGCUAUCGCAUGAUAGUGUGAUCAAAGGAGUAAUCCAGUUUGAGAUGGGCCCGCGGCGCAUUAGCUAGUUGGUGAGGUAACGGCUCACCAAGGCGACGAUGCGUAGCCGACCUGAGAGGGUGAUCGGCCACAUUGGAACUGAGAUACGGUCCAGACUCCUACGGGAGCAG
This 315-nucleotide ribosomal RNA is filed under the name uncultured Bacillota bacterium. Its description in RNAcentral is "bacterial SSU rRNA". It matches the Rfam family "Bacterial small subunit ribosomal RNA", at positions 28 to 351 of the family's 1533-position model. Lineage: Bacteria; Bacillati; Bacillota. The record is from RNAcentral.